UGCGAGUCGAAUGUAACAAUACAUGGCGUACUGCUCAGUAACACGUGGACAACCUGCCCUUAGGACGGGUAUAAACCCGGGAAACUGGGUAUAAUUCCCGAUAGGUCUCGUCUGCUGGAAUGCAUCGAGAUCCAAAGCUCCGGCGCCUAAGGAUGGGUCUGCGGCCUAUCAGGUAGUAGUGGGUGUAGCGUACCUACUAGCCUACAACGGGUACGGGUUGUGAGAGCAAGAGCCCGGAGAUGGAUUCUGAGACACUAAUCCAGGCCCUACGGGGUGCAGCAGGCGCGAAAACUUUACAAUGCUGGGAACAGCGAUAAGGGAACCUCGAGUGCCAGGUUACAAAUCUGGCUGUCGUGAUGCCUAAAAAGCAUUAUAUAGCAAGGGCCGGGCAAGACCGGUGCCAGCCGCCGCGGUAACACCGGCGGCUCGAGUGGUAACCGUUAUUAUUGGGUCUAAAGGGUCUGUAGCCGGCCGGAUAAGUCUCUUGGGAAAUCUGGCAGCUUAACUGUCAGGCUUUCAGGGGAUACCGUCUGGCUCGAGGCCGGGAGAGGUGAGAGGUACUUCAGGGGUAGGGGUGAAAUCUUGUAAUCCUUGAAGGACCACCAGUGGCGAA
RNAcentral lists this ribosomal RNA (613 nucleotides) under uncultured archaeon. Its description in RNAcentral is "bacterial SSU rRNA". It matches the Rfam family "Archaeal small subunit ribosomal RNA", at positions 52 to 670 of the family's 1478-position model. The record is from RNAcentral.